UGGGGAAUAUUGGACAAUGGGGGCAACCCUGAUCCAGCAAUGCCGCGUGUGUGAAGAAGGCCUUCGGGUUGUAAAGCACUUUUGGCUGGGAAGAAGGCGUAUGAAAGUACGUUUGACGGUACCAGCAGAAUAAGCACCGGCUAACUCUGUGCCAGCAGCCGCGGUAAUACAGAGGGUGCAAGCGUUAAUCGGAGUUACUGGGCGUAAAGGGCGCGUAGGCGGUUAUGUAAGUGAGAUGUGAAAUCCCUGGGCUUAACCUAGGAACUGCAACUCAUACUGCGUAACUAGAGUAUUGUAGAGGGUAGUGGAAUUUCCGGUGUAGCGGUGAAAUGCGUAGAGAUCGGAAGGAACACCAGUGGCGAAGGCGGCUACCUGGACAAAUACUGACGCUGAGGCGCGA
This 400-nucleotide ribosomal RNA is filed under the name uncultured bacterium. RNAcentral's name for it is "bacterial SSU rRNA". It matches the Rfam family "Bacterial small subunit ribosomal RNA", at positions 355 to 756 of the family's 1533-position model. The record is from RNAcentral.